GAAGGGCUCCUCAAAUGCCGCCAAAGUGGGAGCCCAGGCAGGGGAGGUGCAAGCGAGGGCUCUGAGGACUGCCAGCAUGCUGUCACCUCUCACCAGGGUUGCAAGAGGCCAAUCUGCUUGGAGGCAAAUUUGCAUAAUACACAGAUGAGCAGAAUGAACAACCUCCAUCCCAGUCAUAUAUAAAGUAGGCCAGUAUUAUAUAAAAUAGAAAAGAAAGAAUGUGAUCUCACAGUUUCAGUUGGAAAGUAGUAUUAAUAUUAUUCCAGGAAAUGGGGAUGGUGAGGGUAGGGUUCACUGAAAUGCAUAACUUCUGGGCAAGGCCAAAAAAAAAAAAAUCUUUAGGUGCCUAUAAGCAAAUUAGAUUGAUUUUUCUUUCUUUCUUUUUCUCUUGUACAAGAAAGGGUUCCCUUAGUAUUGGAAAGGGUAUGGAUAAACAUUGCUGAGGGGAAGUAUAUUUGUAUAACAUCUAUGGAUAAAAAUUAGCAAUAUCUAUGAAAAGUUUAAAGACUCUUUGCCUUUAAAUUUGACUCAGCAACUCUACCUCUAGAAAUUUAUUCUGCAGAUACAUUUCCACAUGUGCAAAAUGGCCCAUUUAUAGGAAUGGUCACUGAAGCUUUGUAAUAACAAAAGAUAUGAAACAACAAUCAUAAAUGAGUAGGGAUUUGAAUAAAUUUUGAGGCUUUCCUACAACAAAUAACAUAUAGCUAUUAAAAGAAAUUCAGCAGAUCUAGUAAUAUAUAAUGAUUUUCACAUAGACCAAUGGAACAGAAUAGAGAGCCCAGAAAUAAGGCUGCACAUCUAUAACUGAUACAACUCACACACCGCUUCUAUUCAACAUUAGGUUGAAGGUCCUAGCCAUUACGACAAAGCAAGAAGAAACAAAAGGUAAACUGUUGUUAUUCAUAUAUGACAUGAUU
This 917-nucleotide long non-coding RNA is filed under the name Pan troglodytes (chimpanzee). RNAcentral describes it as "long non-coding RNA NONPTRT017752". The record is from RNAcentral. Lineage: Eukaryota; Metazoa; Chordata; Mammalia; Primates; Hominidae.